RNAcentral lists this ribosomal RNA (230 nucleotides) under Inquilinus sp. ISOM072_OTU733. Its description in RNAcentral is "partial 16S ribosomal RNA". It matches the Rfam family "Bacterial small subunit ribosomal RNA", at positions 29 to 289 of the family's 1533-position model. RNAcentral also lists the same sequence under 3 other names. Lineage: Bacteria; Pseudomonadati; Pseudomonadota; Alphaproteobacteria; Rhodospirillales; Rhodospirillaceae. The record is from RNAcentral.
ACGAACGCUGGCGGCAGGCCUAACACAUGCAAGUCGAGCGCCCCGCAAGGGGAGCGGCGCACGGGUGAGUAACACGUGGGAACCUACCUUCUGGUACGGAACAACCAAGGGAAACUUUGGCUAAUACCGUAUACGACCUCCGGGUGAAAGAUUUAUCGCCGGAAGAGGGGCCCGCGUCCGAUUAGGUAGUUGGUGAGGUAACGGCUCACCAAGCCGACGAUCGGUAGCUG